CGCCCACAGGGUUUUCUGGGACUGCCCCAAAGUCAAAAGGUUAUUGGAGCCUGUGGUUCCGAAACGAGCCCGCUUCGGGGGAGGAGCUGAGACUCUGAAAGGCGCUCCGGUGGAUACCGGACACCAUCACGUGCCUCACGCGGAUGGGAAAAUGAAGACCCAGAGAAGCCUUCAGCCAAUCAAGCCAUCCCAUAGGAGACUCAAGACAAUAUGAGCAGCAGAGAAGGAACAGAUAACAACUGCGAUAGUUACAUUCUAGGUACAUAAGAGGCAACAUUCACUGGCUCAUCAAAGCAACCCAAGAAGAUAGCAGCACUAUUAACCCCAUUGUAGAGAGGAAGAAACUGA
Molecule: long non-coding RNA, 348 nt
Filed under: Fukomys damarensis (Damara mole-rat)
Lineage: Eukaryota; Metazoa; Chordata; Mammalia; Rodentia; Bathyergidae
Description: lncRNA (ENSFDAG00000032353.1)
Source: RNAcentral